Molecule: long non-coding RNA, 339 nt
Filed under: Capsicum annuum
Lineage: Eukaryota; Viridiplantae; Streptophyta; Magnoliopsida; Solanales; Solanaceae
Description: long non-coding RNA (CANN_LNC011051)
Source: RNAcentral
AGUUACUAGAUAUGCAUGUUUGCACUCUUACAUUCAUAUCAAUUAGUCAGUUAGCAUCGUUCAUGUAUGUAAAACCUUUUGCAUUUAGCCUACCUCACUCGUAUACUCAGUACUCCCAGUUGUACUGACGCAUUUGCGCUAUAGUACUUUCUUUCACGUUACAUCAUAGGUUCACAGAUACGAGCUUUAGAUUAACAUUAGUAGUAGCAUUCCAGUCGCAGAGUUGCAGUGAGUCCUCAUCCAUUCGAGGAUGAUAUUAUUUAUUUCAUUUAUUAAUUUAGUUCAGUUUUACUAGACAGAGUUAGUUGGAGACAUGUUCUUUCAACUCCUUAUUCAGAC